GGACGAACGCUGGCGGCGUGCUUAACACAUGCAAGUCGAACGGAAAGGCCCUGCUUUUGUGGGGUGCUCGAGUGGCGAACGGGUGAGUAACACGUGAGUAACCUGCCCUUGACUUUGGGAUAACUUCAGGAAACUGGGGCUAAUACCGGAUAGGAGCUCCUGCUGCAUGGUGGGGGUUGGAAAGUUUCGGCGGUUGGGGAUGGACUCGCGGCUUAUCAGCUUGGUGGUGGGGUAGUGGCUUACCAAGGCUUUGACGGGUAGCCGGCCUGAGAGGGUGACCGGCCCCAUUGGGACUGAGAUACGGCCCAGACUCCUACGGGAGGCAGCAGUGGGGAAUAUUGCACAAUGGGCGGAAGCCUGAUGCAGCAACGCCGCGUGCGGGAUGACGGCCUUCGGGUUGUAAACCGCUUUCGCCUGUGACGAAGCGUGAGUGACGGUAAUGGGUAAAGAAGCACCGGCUAACUACGUG
This 469-nucleotide ribosomal RNA is filed under the name uncultured bacterium. RNAcentral's name for it is "partial 16S ribosomal RNA". It matches the Rfam family "Bacterial small subunit ribosomal RNA", at positions 27 to 507 of the family's 1533-position model. The record is from RNAcentral.